This 642-nucleotide ribosomal RNA is filed under the name Neowestiellopsis sp. WUC1750. Its description in RNAcentral is "bacterial SSU rRNA". It matches the Rfam family "Bacterial small subunit ribosomal RNA", at positions 113 to 788 of the family's 1533-position model. The record is from RNAcentral. Lineage: Bacteria; Bacillati; Cyanobacteriota; Cyanophyceae; Nostocales; Hapalosiphonaceae.
ACGCGUGAGAAUCUGGCUCUAGGUUCGGGACAACCACUGGAAACGGUGGCUAAUACCGGAUGUGCCGAGAGGUGAAAGGUUAACUGCCUGGAGAUGAGCUCGCGUCUGAUUAGCUAGUUGGUGGUGUAAGGGACUACCAAGGCGACGAUCAGUAGCUGGUCUGAGAGGAUGAUCAGCCACACUGGAACUGAGACACGGUCCAGACUCCUACGGGAGGCAGCAGUGGGGAAUUUUCCGCAAUGGGCGAAAGCCUGACGGAGCAAUACCGCGUGAGGGAGGAAGGCUCUUGGGUUGUAAACCUCUUUUCUCAGGGAAUAAGCAAGUGAAGGUACCUGAGGAAUCAGCAUCGGCUAACUCCGUGCCAGCAGCCGCGGUAAUACGGAGGAUGCAAGCGUUAUCCGGAAUGAUUGGGCGUAAAGCGUCCGUAGGUAGCAGUGUGUGUCUAUUGUUAAAGAGUUUGGCUUAACCAAAUAAAGGCGGUAGAAACUACACAGCUAGAGUGCGUUCGGGGCAGAGGGAAUUCCUGGUGUAGCGGUGAAAUGCGUAGAGAUCAGGAAGAACACCGGUGGCGAAAGCGCUCUGCUAGGCCGCAACUGACACUGAGGGACGAAAGCUAGGGGAGCGAAUGGGAUUAGAUACCCC